GAUGAACGCUGGCGGCGUGCCUAAUACAUGCAAGUCGAGCGAACAGAUGAGGAGCUUGCUCCUCUGACGUUAGCGGCGGACGGGUGAGUAACACGUGGAUAACCUACCUAUAAGACUGGGAUAACUUCGGGAAACCGGAGCUAAUACCGGAUAAUAUAUUGAACCGCAUGGUUCAAUAGUGAAAGACGGUUUUGCUGUCACUUAUAGAUGGAUCCGCGCCGCAUUAGCUAGUUGGUAAGGUAACGGCUUACCAAGGCAACGAUGCGUAGCCGACCUGAGAGGGUGAUCGGCCACACUGGAACUGAGACACGGUCCAGACUCCUACGGGAGGCAGCAGUAGGGAAUCUUCCGCAAUGGGCGAAAGCCUGACGGAGCAACGCCGCGUGAGUGAUGAGGGUCUUCGGAUCGUAAAACUCUGUUAUUAGGGAAGAACAAAUGUGUAAGUAACUAUGCACGUCUUGACGGUACCUAAUCAGAAAGCCACGGCUAACUACGUG
This 497-nucleotide ribosomal RNA is filed under the name uncultured bacterium. RNAcentral describes it as "partial 16S ribosomal RNA". It matches the Rfam family "Bacterial small subunit ribosomal RNA", at positions 28 to 507 of the family's 1533-position model. The record is from RNAcentral.